Nothoprocta perdicaria is the source of this 82-nucleotide small nucleolar RNA. RefSeq annotates it as small nucleolar RNA SNORD35. Lineage: Eukaryota; Metazoa; Chordata; Aves; Tinamiformes; Tinamidae. The transcript has a single exon. The record is from RefSeq and is a predicted model, not a curated record.
GGCGCGUGAUGCUGCUCUCACGAUGGUCUUCGGAGCCCCCCCUCGGGGGCCGUGACGCCGACGUUGGCGCUGACGCCGGGCG